AGUGAACGCUGGCGGUAGGCCUAACACAUGCAAGUCGAACGGCAGCACAGUAAGAGCUUGCUCUUACGGGUGGCGAGUGGCGGACGGGUGAGGAAUACAUCGGAAUCUACUUUUUCGUGGGGGAUAACGUAGGGAAACUUACGCUAAUACCGCAUACGGCCUACGGGUGAAAGCAGGGGAUCUUCGGACCUUGCGCGAUUGAAUGAGCCGAUGUCGGAUUAGCUAGUUGGCGGGGUAAAGGCCCACCAAGGCGACGAUCCGUAGCUGGUCUGAGAGGAUGAUUAGCCACACUGGAACUGAGACACGGUCCAGACUCCUACGGGAGGCAGCAGUGGGGAAUAUUGGACAAUGGGCGCAAGCCUGAUCCAGCCAUACCGCGUGGGUGAAGAAGGCCUUCGGGUUGUAAAGCCCUUUUGUUGGGAAAGAAAAGCAGCAGGUUAAUACCCCGCUGUUCUGACGGUACCCAAAGAAUAAGCACCGGCUAACUUCGUG
Molecule: ribosomal RNA, 492 nt
Filed under: uncultured bacterium
Lineage: Bacteria
Description: partial 16S ribosomal RNA
Rfam family: Bacterial small subunit ribosomal RNA
Source: RNAcentral